GCAUAGCCAAGUGGUAAGGCAGAGGUCUGCAAAACCUCCAUUCUCCAGUUCAAAUCGGUAGUGUGCG
This 67-nucleotide transfer RNA is filed under the name Desulfomicrobium macestii. Its description in RNAcentral is "tRNA-Cys". It matches the Rfam family "tRNA". From Rfam's summary of the family: Transfer RNA (tRNA) molecules are approximately 80 nucleotides in length. Their secondary structure includes four short double-helical elements and three loops (D, anti-codon, and T loops). Lineage: Bacteria; Pseudomonadati; Thermodesulfobacteriota; Desulfovibrionia; Desulfovibrionales; Desulfomicrobiaceae. The record is from RNAcentral.